Long non-coding RNA from Engraulis encrasicolus (European anchovy), 1156 nucleotides. RefSeq lists it as uncharacterized. Lineage: Eukaryota; Metazoa; Chordata; Actinopteri; Clupeiformes; Engraulidae. The transcript is spliced from 7 exons. The record is from RefSeq and is a predicted model, not a curated record.
GAGCUGGGUUAUUACUUUGACUAAACCCCUGGGUCAAUUGCUUUUCUAUGAAAAAUGGGUUAAAUAUAACCCAUAUUGGGUCAUUUUCCGUACCCAUUACCUGGGUUAUUCGCUAAACCCACAUCAGCACCCAGGCCCUGGGUCAUUUCAACCCUGUAAUCUUGUCAAUAUAUUUGAAUUUUGAAUUUUACCGCCCGGACGCCAUUGCCAAAACGGCUAGUAAACUCAAGAACUACCAACGUCCAGAAGAAAGGACACCGGAUGGCAUGUGAAAGCAUUGUUUAGGUGGACUUCUCUCCUCUGACCGGUUACCAAGACAGCUGGGUGUGUAGGAAACUGGAACUAAGUCACUGAAGAAGUAAACCGAUGAAAACCGAUUUGGAUUGUCUGAGAGAUCUGUAGGGCACAAGUAAGAGGAGAAGAAUGCUGCUCAGCUGGGUCGGCGUCGGCCACACUACUUAUUCAAGAAGCCCUUGGAUAUCAUCGGCAUGUAUGAAGCACAGUCAUUCCGGUAGUCCGUUCCUCGAUGGACGUGAUGACCUGGCACCAAAACCGCUUAAUGUGUACGGAGCUGUGUCUGCAUCGAGGGAAGAACGCGGCACUGAAAUGACACAAAUGAAAGAAGAUUACUUCUGCUCUGCUGGGUCUGUGACACUAUUUAUCCGAGGAGUCCUCAAACAUCAGGAUGUAGGAAGACACAAGUAAAAGGAGAAGAAUGCUGCUCAGCUGGGUCGGCGGCCACACUACUUAUUCAAGAAGCCCUUGGAUAUCAUCAGCAUGUAUGAAACUUGUGGUGAGAUGCCAAGAGCUGCCAUGAGGGAUAUGCAACCUGCAGCUUCACCGUGCUUUUGGGAGGUCAUCUACUACGUGAACCUUAAUAUCUACAAGCCAGCUACUUUAAAUCCUUGAAAGGGUAGUGAUGUCAAUCAAACCAGAUCACGAGACAAGGUCCUGAGGUACAAACUGUCAAUAUAAUUGCGACAUCCCUGUCAGUUCUUUUGGACUGGAUACAUGCUGUGUUUGAAAUGUAUUAUUUGGAUAACCACCCAUCAGGGAAUACCUUGUUUGUUAAUGACAGAUAGACCUGCCAUGGACAUGUAGUGCACACUUUGAUGUUUUUUUAUUUUAACGUUUUCUAUGUUUUUUCAAUGUUUUU